UACGUAGGGACCAAGCGUUGUUCGGAUUUACUGGGCGUAAAGGGCGCGUAGGCGGCGAAUCAAGUCAGCUGUGAAAUCUCCGAGCUUAACUCGGAACGGUCAGCUGAUACUGUUUUGCUAGAGUGCAGAAAGGGCAACCGGAAUUCUUGGUGUAGCGGUGAAAUGCGUAGAUAUCGAGAGGAACACCGGUGGCGAAGGCGGCCUUCUGGACAGUGACUGACGCUGAGACGCGAAAGCGUGGGGAGCAAACAGG
This 253-nucleotide ribosomal RNA is filed under the name uncultured bacterium. RNAcentral's name for it is "partial 16S ribosomal RNA". It matches the Rfam family "Bacterial small subunit ribosomal RNA", at positions 524 to 776 of the family's 1533-position model. The record is from RNAcentral.